Molecule: long non-coding RNA, 9392 nt
Filed under: Nicotiana tabacum (common tobacco)
Lineage: Eukaryota; Viridiplantae; Streptophyta; Magnoliopsida; Solanales; Solanaceae
Description: long non-coding RNA (NTAB_LNC001899)
Source: RNAcentral
UUUGAUCUAACGGCUCAGAACUCAUGCAUCCCUUGCUAUAUAACUAUCCUAACAGACCCCAUACCCUCAGAACACCCCCACUCUCCUGUCUCUCUCCCAAACCUCAAUCCUAGCCGCACUAAAUUUCCCCCACUGGCUCCGCCGCCAGUAAUCGCCUCACGGCGGCGGAGCACUUUCAAAUCGAACCAAACUCACCCCAGACUAUAUCCUUCUUCCCAUCAACCCCCAAUCUCUCACUAAUUUCCCCAAAAUACCUCUCAAAUUUGACUAAUUUCAGAUCUAAAAAUCUGAAAACCCUAAAGAAAAUCACACGGGACGAAUUCAAGCAAACAUAUGGCUCAAACCUACGUGAGUCAGUUACACUUGACAAAAUUAAUUUAUUCAUGUUGGUUUGACUCAUUUCAACCUCGCCAGAGUCCGGCCAAAUCCGGCCAAGUCUUUUUUUCGACCAAACUGUUACCCCCUUUGACUUUCUUUCUUUGUUUAAUUAUUAUUUUGAAAUUAGCUACCUAGGUUAGGUUUUGUCUUUGCGAUCUAAUCUUGAACUUUUAGUAUUAGGUUUUUCAUAAUUUUCUUUGAUCUAUUUGUUCAAUGCCUGUUGUUGAUUGAUUCUGAAUUGAUAAGUUUUGCAUGUUUAUCUUUUCUUUUUGCUAGUUUCUCUUGUUGUUAGGUUUAAUUUCUAGCUAAUUGACAUUGAUUUGUUAACCUAGGGUUUCAUGCUAUCUUAUUGUUCCUGGUGUUAGUUCCUAAUAUGUAUUAAUUAGUCGAUUUUCAUUAUAAGUAAUCAUGCAUGUUAGAUAUCGGAACUGUUUGUUUGAGUUUAAUUCCUGACCCAAAUAAUUUAUCCUGAAUUGUUACUAAUCAUAUGUAUUUUAGAAUUGAAUUACUUGAAUUCUGAUUUUGUUAGUUAGUGGAUUAUUAGUUAAUCUUAAAUGAUUAGUUAACUAUACCCAUUUAGGAUUACUACUACUACUUUUGAAGCAAUUCAAAGUUUAGUUCAGCCAUUAAUGUUAAUUAAAUAACAUUAAUUAGUUCAAAUUAGUCAACUUAGUUAUCUCUUAGGUGUUUAAUAUAAGCUGUUUUGAGUUGCCUGAUUUCAGGAAUUCAUUAACAGUUGAUUAUUGGCAAAUGAGGCCCAAUUAGUUAGGCCCAAAAUUGGCCAAUUAUGUAGCCCAGGCCCUGGAUCACAAAGGGGGAAUUACAGGGGUAUUUCAGGGUAAUUUAGGAAUUCUAACUGAAGAAUAUCAGCUAUAACUGCUUAGGAAACUUCUAGAAUUAAGAUAAGGGACCAAAAUAAAAUAAGAAAAGAUAUUAAGUCAGAAUUUCUGGGUAAACGGUAAAAUUUCAGAAGUAAAAAGGGUAUAAAAAUAGAAGAAGUUUCUAGAAAAGUGUACAGUUGUCCUAGCUGUUAUAAAAAAUAUGCUGAAAAAUAGGAUAACGAGGACAGCGGUACUAGAACUGUUAGGAAAAACAAUACUAUUUUUAGAAUUAGGAUAAAGAAUAUUCCUAAAAAAAUACCCACCCUAGGCAGUCUAUAUAUAGAUACUAUCAUUCUAAAAAUGACAUACAUUCAUCAGCAUUUUUCUGCACCCAAAAGCUCUGAAAACAAAAGAGAAAAACUCCCUGAAACCUUUUUCCUGAAAACUUUAAUUUUUCUGAUUAAACUUCUAGGCUAAGUUUCUCAUACUCUGAUUUUGGAAACAUCGAGUGUUGAUUCUGUUUUUCUGGAUUUGGUUUUACACUGCUGCUGUUUGGGUUUACCGGCUGAUUCAUCUUUAGAUUCCAACCAGCCGUUUCACUUGUAUUGUGACUUGUUUUUUACUGUUUAAGAGACCUAAUUUUCUUGGCUUGGUCUAUUUUGUUGUAAUUAGGUAUUUGCCUUGAAUCUAAGACUCAAUUUUGGCAUGAAUAAGCUGAUAGCUCUCAUCUGUUCUAUGAAGUCUUGAUUAUCUUUUGUCACGUAUUGAUUCCUUUACAUUUAGCAUGUUAAUUAAUAAACUUUGUUUCAUUUAAACCCCUAAGUUUCUUUUCUAUUAAUUAAUGUGUUGAUAUGAAAAGAGCAAAAGUUUAUGGCUCUACUAUGUGUCUGUUUGAACUAGAAUGUUUACUUUAUACUUAUGAGUAUAUUUCUGACUUAACUGAAUCUGAACCUUGACUAUUUGACCUUGUUUUCUUGCUGUUUUCUUUCUGCCUGCUCUACCUUUCUUUUAGUUGAUAAUAUAUUGUUAAAUGAAUUCUUUAUAACUAUUGAAAUUUCCCCUUUAUUUCUGAUGCUUGUAUGUGAGUGGCAAUAAGGCAAAGAAGUUUCAGAGUUGGAAUUGAAGGCUUGACUUGUGGGAAGCAGCUCUAUAGCUAAACUUCUUGCAAGCUGAAGCUGGUUCGAAAGAUUUUGUAAUAGCUGGAAGGCUCAGAAUUAAGAAGAAAAUUACUCUUAGCUUAAACUUUUCUUUCUAAGACAGAUAGUUGUAUUUAGAAGUAUAUUGUAGUUGAUGGACUGUCAAAACCAUUUAGAAUGUCUUACUUUCGAGCUUGAUUAUGUAUGACUACUAGUUUAAGUUCAUAACAGGAUGCUUUACUUUGUAAUAAGCAUAACCCCCAUAUUUGUAGAACUGUUUGAAUACAGUUUGGGCCAGACUUGCGAAAACCAAUCUUGACAAGUUUGGGCCCAGGCUAAUGGGCCUGGGCAUUAAACUCAAAUAGCUUGACUUAUGUUUCUUUGCAAAAUCGUAAUAGUGCAAAUUAAUCUCCAAACUUGGGUUAUUUUAUUUCAUAUUUUAAAUUUCCUACUUAAAGUGAUUUGGUUUUGACAAGCAUGUAUCAUGUAAGUCGUAGCUUAAAAUAUAGAGGUAGAUAGGCCCAGCCAGUAAAUAACCAUAACUGGGCCCGCCUAAUAUAAGCCCAACACGGGCCAGCCUUUGGUUAAAAUCGGACUCAGCAAGAGUCAUUGAAUCUCUUCAAUCCUGGAACAAACUCCAGCCCAAUACAGCUUUAAAAUUGGUGAUCAACCCUUAAUUAAAUGAGCAAUGGGCUAUUGUUGGCCCAAACCCCUUAUCCAAAUUGUUUUAAAAGAUCUUCACCCUAAGUUUGUCUAUAAUUAAACGUUUCUUAUUUAAUUAAUCUUCAAUAGGGACAUCCGUUAGCUUUAUUUAGUUAAGUACAAAUCUUUUAAAAUAAAUCGAGGCGUGCCAUUCACAAUCAAAUCACUUAAAUCUAUGGCCCUCAUAUUAGUAUUAUAACUUAGUAUAGAAAAUAUUUUUAAACAUUCGUAAUUUGCUUUAGGCACGUUUAUAAUAAAAUCGUCAUAACUAUGGGAACGAUUCCCGUGACGUAGUUAUGACACCUAAUUUCCAAAUUCGAGGGUAAUGUGAUCCGGCCAUAACUUCUAAUAAAUUUAAGGCAAAAUACAUAGGUUACCCCCUGAACUAUGGACCAAAUCCCUGUUACACACUUUUUGCGGAUGAUAAUAACCUUACACACUCAACCUUUAGAGGGUGUGUCUAAGACAUACCUCUUUGUCUACGUGGCAAGUGCGUGUUUUACAAACAAAAUAAAAUGUCUGAACAGUAAAAAACUGUAUAUCUGAUACUUUAUUUGAAGGGUCCAAAUUUAAUAAAACUUAUCCAACGGUUAAAUGAAUUUUCUUUUUUCCUUUUCCAAUAUCUUCCAUUUUUCAUUUUUCUAGAGUAAUCUGGUUCAAAUUGAAGAUAAAACCGAUGUUUACUAUCCAUUUUCUUCACUUUCAAUGAAGAAAUCCAAUUCAAAUUGUAACAGAUCGAGGGAUGGUUCCCAUGACAUGAUUCGCAAUGUGUAUCAAACAAACAAGUGUACGACAAUCAUAACUUGUUCCAGAAUAAUUUCAUAAAAGCGGUUAUAAAAGUAAAAAAUGCACAAUAGGUUUAAAACAUGUAGUCAAUCAGAUAAUAGGCCAAUUAUUAAUAGUUUAAGCGACCGUGCUAGAACUACGGAAUUCGGGAAUGACUAACACCUUCUCCCGGGUUAACAGAAUUCCUUACAUAGAAUUUCUGGUUCGUACACUUUUAAAUAAAGUCGUAAAUUUCCUUGAUUCAGGAUUUAAAAUAAACCGGUGACUUGGGACACCCUAAACUAUUUCAAGUGGUCACUCCAAAAUUUAAUAAAUAAUCUCAUUUCGAUUAAUGUCACUUUAAUUGAAAAAACUCCCUUAUAUCCCACCUCAGGCGGGAAAAAGGAGGUGGGACACUAUAUAAAUAUCUGAAUGAAUAAUAUGUACAAUGUGCUUUGACUAUACCCUCUGAAAUUAUUAUGUAUUUCUUAGGUUAGGAGUCAAAUUAAUCAAAUUCUUCAGUGAUUUUGGAAGACACGCAUUAGCUUAUUAUAAGUACUUAAAAUGAACUUCUUAAUCUGGUCCUAAAGUACGAUUCAAUGGGUAUAUACUUGAGAGAUGUUGGAGUUACCUGUACAAUAGGUUGGUGGAAUUUAUCUACCUUUUAUUUCAUAGUUAUUGAUUUUUAACUUAGAGCUAUUACAACCCAAUAGAACAAGGUCUUUUAAUAUAUGCUUUUUGAUUAGGGAUUUACAAUGUUUAUGUACAUUGAUUUUUGACCUCGCUAAAUUUUGUUUUUGGGCGAGAUAUAUUGUUGUGGUCUUCUGUUUUGUGCAAUUAUAAUAAAGUGAAAGUUGUGCGAUGUCGUUAACUGGCUAAAUGAGUUGGUGUCACGACCUACAAACUAACCCUGUCAUGAUGGCUGGUACUAGGCAAGCCGAUACAUUACCAAUACAAUUCGAUAUAUUCACUUCAAAGAUAGUUCCAAAGCUAUUUAAUAUAAAGCCUUCAUAAAGGAGUUCAAAUCAAAAUAAAGUGCAGAAGAAAGUCUGACAUCGGGGUGUCACUAGUCAUGAGCAUCUACUACAACCGUCUGACAAUAUCAAGACCAACAUAAUCUAGAAAUAACUGAAUACAAUUAAGGGUUGAUAAAGAGGGAGGAAAGCAGGGCUGCGAUCGCCAGACAACUACCUUGCUAAAUCCGAUGGAUCUACAACUGAAUAAUCAACACCCGCUACCGUGUCCAGAAAUGCCUGGAUCUGCACACAAGGUGCAGGGAGUAACGUGAGUACACCAACUCAGUAAGUAACAAUAGUAAAUAAAGACUGAAAAGUAGUGACGAGCAAUAAUGCAAGUAAAAUUCAUAUCGUAGAAACUCAGUAAAAUACGGCACGCUUUUAAAACCAUAUUUUGAAUCAAAUCAGCUUGUUUAAAACCAGUUCCACUAAAAUCUUUUAAAACAUCUUUCAACAGUUUUCGAAUAAAGUUUCAAAUGCAAAAGUGAGCAAAAUGAUGAAACCAUGAACAACCCCUUGGUCAAACUUUACUCGUAUACAUCCCCUAGGGCAAAUAUCACUCAUAUAUAGCACCUCAGGCGAACAUCACUCAUAUACAGCCCUGCGGGCAUACAUCACUCAUAUACAACCCCUCCGGCAAACCUCACCAUCACUCAUGCCUCCCAGUCACUCGGCACUCAGUAGGUACAUGCGCUCACUAGGGGUGUGCAGAUUCUGGAUGGGUGUAACGACCCGGCCGGUCGUUUUAUGAGUACCACUCCGUUUCUCCCAUUUAUGCUUCUUAUUGCCUUGUUCAGCUGUAUUUUGUGUUAUCGAGUUGGUUGGCUCAGGUUCGUAGAGGUUUUGGUAAGGUUUGAGACACUUAGUCUCUUUUGAGGAAGCUUAUGUAGGAAAAGUCAAUUGGAUAUUGACUUAUGUGUCAAAGGGCUUGGAUGUGAGUUCUGAUGGUUCGGAUAGCAUUGGGAGGCAAUUUGGGACAUAAGAGCGCGAUAUGAAUAUGUUUUUGAGGUCCGGAGUGGAUUUAGGCUUGAAUUGGCAAAAUUGGAAUUUUGGCAUUUUCCGAUUGAUAGGUAAGAUUUUGAUAUAUGGGUCGGAAUGGAAUUUCGGGAGUUGCAGUAGGUCCGUUGUGUCAUUUGGGAUGUGUGUGCAAAAUUUCAGGUCAUUCGGACAAGGUUUGAUAGACUUUUUGAUCGAAAGUGAAAUUUAGUAGAUUUUGGAAUUCUUAGGAUUGAAUCGGAUGCAAUUUGGUGUUUUGAUGUUGUUUUGAGCGUUCCAAAGAUUGGAAAAAGUUUGAAUGAUUUUAUGGGAUAUGUUGACAUGUUAGGUUGAGGUCCCGGGGGCCUCGGGUAAGUUUCGGGUGGUUAAACGGACCAUUUCAAGUUGUGAAAAGUUGUAGAAAAAAUCUGCUAUAGUGUUGCAGAUAACAGUGCUUCGCGUUCGCGAGUGGGCCCUUGUCUUCGCAAAGGGUUGGAGUCAGGAAGCAUCACAUUUGCGGGAGAGCAGACGCGUUCAUAAUGGUAGAGCUACUGAGGCAUCGCGUUCGCGAGGGUGUCGUCACGUUCGCGUAAGAGGGAUUUUUGGUCAACCUAAGUUUAUGCUUCGGGAACGCGAGAGGUUGACCGUGUUCGCGAAAAAGGAAUUGACUCCCUUGGAAGAAUGUUUUAAAAGCUCAUUUCCGCGAUUUUAGGCAUAAGUUCCUCCAUUUUUGGGCGAUUUGAAAUUUUUUGAAGGGGAUUGAAGAGGGAAUCGAGGGGGAACACUCGGAGGUAAGAUUUAUGGACUUUAUACUCAAUCCUAAUGUGUUUUCUACCUAAUUAAUCAUGGAAUUUAAACCUAAUAUUGAAGAACUAGGGCUUAUAAUUGGAGACCUAAAAUUAGGGAUUUGAGGGAUCAAUUGUGGUUGGAUUUUGGUGAUUUUGAUAUGAAUGAACUCGGGAAGUGAUAAGGAGUCUAUUGAUGUAAUUUUUACCGGAAUCCGAGACGUGGGCUCGGGGGUCGGGAUUGGCUAAUUUUUUGAUUUAUGUUGUAAUUUUAUUUCUUUCGAGCGAGCUUUGUUCCCUUAGCUUAUUUUGAUGGUUUUGCACUAAUUUUUGUUAGAUUUGGAGCAUCCGGAGGCCGAUCCGAUAGGCAAGGGCAUGCAGGCUAGAGUUCAGGCCGGAUAAAGGUGAGUAAUGAUUGUAAAUAUUGUCCUGAGGGUAUGAAACCUCAUAUUUCACAUCGUUGUGCUAUAUUGAGGUGACACACACGCUAGAUUAUGAGCAUAGGGUCGUGCACCAUUGAGGAUUGUGACUUAGUCCAUCCCGAAUGACUGUUUUACCGUGUAUUUGAAUGAAAACUGUUUGCUAUUAUCAUGUUAUGGUCCUCGUGCCAUAUUUGGGCCUCGUGCGAACUAUUUGGACCCUUAGAGGAUUUUUACUACUAUUUCCUCACUGUUUUGAUUUUAUAUCUGUACUCAGUCAUGUUAUAUUAUACUGUUUUCAUAAUUCAACCAAGUUUACUCUAUUUUUAAACCUUUAAAUGAUAUUUUGGGUUGAACAUCAUAUUGCACUGUGCCCGAGUGGCUUUUUAAAGAUUUCUAACUUAGUAGGGCUGAGGGCCUGCAUUGUGAUAUUAUUAUGGGAUCAGGAUGCACGCCGCAACAAUGUUGUACUGAUUAUGAUUAUGAUACCGAGGGCCUGAGUUGUACGCCACAAGGUGGCUUGAUAUGAGGUCGAGAGCCUAUUGAUUAUGCCACGAGAUGGUUUGAUAUUGCGCUUGGGAUGUAUGGGGUCCCUCCUGGAGUUUGUACACCCCUAGUGAGCGCGGGUACCCAUUGUGAUAUGAGAUUUAGCCCAAGUGGCUAGUGUUGUUGUCACGCCCCCUUUUUCUCGCGAAAUCGGGUUUAUGAUAUUUUUUGGUUGGGACGACUCUUUCCUUUUGGAAAGGGGUUUGCAUUUUUGAAGAGUCACCACCUAACGAUUUAAGGUGCGUUAGGGCACCUAUAGGGUUCAUUUAUAACUACGUUUGAUAACCAGAGACAGGGUAAAGGCUUGAAAUUAUCCUAAGGGGAAGGUGUUAGGCACCCCUUAGGAUCCAUUAGUGUGGUUCCCGGCCAGAUAGUUUUUCUGAAUUUGUACAAUUAGCAAAUAAACAAGUAUUGCUCAGAUAAUAGGGAAUUUAAGUAUAAAUACACACGUGUUUGAAUAAAAACAAAUUAAUGAAAAGCAAGAUUUUAAAAAGAAUUACAAUCUAAGCAUAUUUGUGAAUGUAAAGGGGGUGUCCUAGGUUUGUUUAUAAUAUGGANCANNNNNNNNNNNNNNNNNNNNNNNNNNNNNNNNNNNNNNNNNNNNNNNNNNNNNNNNNNNNNNNNNNNNNNNNNNNNNNNNNNNNNNNNNNNNNNNNNNNNNNNNNNNNNNNNNNNNNNNNNNNNNNNNNNNNNNNNNNNNNNNNNNNNNNNNNNNNNNNNNNNNNNNNNNNNNNNNNNCCCUUUCCCGUCUCGUGAAGGUAAUUAAAGCGAGGGAUGGUCUCGAUCCCUAUUCCAUGUUGUUACCCGUCCCUUACCAUCAGUCCUAGAGGAAUUUAGGACUCCUAUCCAAUAAAGGAAUUUCUAGACAGACCCUCAAGUUUAAAGGUAAAAUACUAAAGUGACAUAUAAUAAAAAAGUAGGACUUUAAUUAAAGGGAGCAUGGAAGACAAAUGAAAGGCUCAGAUAUACCCCCCCCCCCCCCCACCCACGUACACAUAAACAACAUGACCCAUACACAAUUAAGGUCUAAAUUCAGAUCCUAAGCAUGGUAUCUAAGUGGUAAUAGUAAAGUCAGAUUUAUUACAUGACUCAGGGAAGAAGUCCUAAUCAAGCUUGCCUACUGAUUUUAACAUGCUGACAGCUAAACAUUAUUCACAAAGAAGGUUCUAGUUUUUAUUUUAAAGUUGAUUACCUAAGACUUGCCUAAGCGUAAAAUAAUAUGCAGCAGUUACCAAAAUUAUUAAGAAAAACAGCUUGGAAGUUAUUUUACCUAAAGCAUGUUGUUCUAAAUGUUGAAAAGACAUGCAGGGAUUAUGACCAGUUUCACUUAAACAGGAUAAUCAAACAUGAGACUAUUUUUAUGUCCUUUUUCAUGCAUCAGUAGUUUAACUAGGUGUGACUGAGCGAGCAUGAACAAGAUCCUAAAAUAGGGUAUCUAACGUGUACAUAUGAAAAUGCAGAAUGAUUGCAAAAUUCCUAAAACAUGAUUUCUAAAUGCCCGAAGAGUUCUAGCAUGACUUCAAGACGUGUAGGAGCAACAAUUUUUCGUUGAUGCUGUUAUUUAGCCUAAAGUAGGAUUUCUAAGUGGUAAAGUGAUACCAAAUGAGAUGCUGAAACAGUAAACCUAAGAAUAUGGUCUCUAAUACAUGAGAUGCUUUGAAUGGGUUGAUCUUACACAUGGAUUCUAAUGCACGUAUAGGAAAUGUAACCUAAGACAUGGUUUCUACCCAUUGAUGUUGAUAUCAUAUAUAACUACCAUCCCUUUUUCACUAGCCAACCCCAAUACUUGUUUACAACAGAUUAUUACAGACUAAUACUGAAAUAAAUUACAUAAGUAGAAAAAAAAAAA